CUGGCUCAGUCGUACAGGUAGCCGUAGAGUUUGAUCCUGGCUCAAUCGGUGAGUAAUGCCCAGGAUCUGCCUGGUAGUGGGGGACAACGUUUCGAAAGGAACGCUAAUACCGCAACGUCCUACGGGAGAAAGCAGGGGACCUUCGGGCCUUGCGCUAUCAGAUGAGCCUAGGUCGGAUUAGCUUGUUGGUGAGGUAAUGGCUCACCAAGGCGACGAUCCGUAACUGGUCUGAGAGGAUGAUCAGUCACACUGGAACUGAGACACGGUCCAGACUCCUACGGGAGGCAGCAGUGGGGAAUAUUGGACAAUGGGCGAAAGCCUGAUCCAGCCAUGCCGCGUGUGUGAAGAAGGUCUUCGGAUUGUAAAGCACUUUAAGUUGGGAGGAAGGGUUGUAGAUUAAUACUCUGCAAUUUUGACGUUACCGACGAAUAAGCACCGGCUAACUCUGUGCCAGCAGCCGCGGUAAUACAGAGGGUGCAAGCGUUAAUCGGAAUUACUGGGCGUAAAGCGCGCGUAGGUGGUUUGUUAAGUUGGAUGUGAAAGCCCCGGGCUCAACCUGGGAACUGCAUCCAAAACUGGCAAGCUAGAGUACGGUAGAGGGUGGUGGAAUUUCCUGUGUAGCGGUGAAAUGCGUAGAUAUAGGAAGGAACACCAGUGGCGAAAGCGACCACCUGGACUGAUACUGACACUGAGGUGCGAAAGCGUGGGGAGCAAACAGGAUUAGAUACCCUGGUAGUCCACGCCGUAACGAUGUCAACUAGCCGUUUGGAAUCCCUUGAGAUUUUA
RNAcentral lists this ribosomal RNA (786 nucleotides) under Pseudomonas cremoricolorata. RNAcentral describes it as "bacterial SSU rRNA". It matches the Rfam family "Bacterial small subunit ribosomal RNA", at positions 63 to 841 of the family's 1533-position model. Lineage: Bacteria; Pseudomonadati; Pseudomonadota; Gammaproteobacteria; Pseudomonadales; Pseudomonadaceae. The record is from RNAcentral.